This is a non-coding RNA of Lolium perenne, 927 nucleotides long. The record is from RefSeq and is a predicted model, not a curated record. Lineage: Eukaryota; Viridiplantae; Streptophyta; Magnoliopsida; Poales; Poaceae.
AUGGUUUAAAGUCAAUAAAUAUCAAUCAUAUAUGGUUACAAUACAGUCAUGGAUACAACUUAUGGUUACAAUACUAUCUUGUUUUUGUGUUUGAGCCACUGUGACAGCUCUUCUUCUCAAGCUAUGGCCUCAUAGACUGAAAUUUUGGCUAAUUAAUUUGUUUGCUUGGUUCCUACAUUUGAUGUAUUGUUUAAAAGAGGUGUGUUUUAACUUCUUCUAUUUUUUUGUAGAAGAGUAUUGCAUGCUCAGCUACUCCAAUCGUUUGGGGAUGGUGGACUUGAUUGCUGAAUCAAUGGUGCCAUGUCAUGCCCCCUAUAUUACCUUUGCCCAAAUCAAAGUGCAUAUAUUUCCACGAGGUACCUCUCAACUCUAAAUUUACUAAUCAAAGAAGUCAAAGCUACACUCCAGCCACUGAACUGGGUUUUACAUCAUUGCGGAUGCAUGAGUGUGUCAUUGGACUGUCAUGAUUUGUUGGUAUUAUUUGCAAGAGGCGUGUUUUAUCCAAUAGGUAUAAUAUAUUUUACUUGUAUUUUUCUGAAGAUUAUUGUAGCGAAGACGUUUGUCAAAAGUAUUCAGUAUUUACAACCCAUGGCAUGUCCCAUCUUAAGCCCCUCGAAUUGACUUGUAAUCACACACCAGACUGGUGUAUCAGCAUUUGCCGUAAACUUUUACUCAAUCUAUAUAAUUCGUUAGUUCCAUUUCAGCUUCCAAAACAUUUGUUGGCUAUUUAAAACUUUGGCAAAGCCCCUUCUCGUAUAUAAUGGCUGGGAGUGUUAGAAGGUACCACGACACUACAACUAAGCAUCAGAGUGUUGAGUACAUUGAUUAUGAGUAGAAGGAUUUUAAGAUAAAUAUGGUAGUGUCUUACCAAUCAUGUGGCAUUAGCUAUUGUUUUGUCCAUUUCUUUUUGCUAGCCAUUUAUCUCUC